CCCUGCCAUUUGUACACACCGCCCGUCGCUACUACCGAUUGAAAGUUUUAGUGAGGCAUUUGGACCUGCUAUCCAAAGGUUGGGCAACCGAUCUGGGACGGCGGGGAAGUCUGUCGAACUCAAAUUUU
Molecule: ribosomal RNA, 128 nt
Filed under: uncultured eukaryote
Lineage: Eukaryota
Description: partial small subunit ribosomal RNA
Rfam family: Eukaryotic small subunit ribosomal RNA
Source: RNAcentral